GACGAACGCUGGCGGCGUGCUUAACACAUGCAAGUCGAACGGAAAGGCCCUGCUUUUGUGGGGUGCUCGAGUGGCGAACGGGUGAGUAACAUGUGAGUAACCUGCCCUUGACUUUGGGAUAACUUCAGGAAACUGGGGCUAAUACCGGAUAGGAGCUCCUGCUGCAUGGUGGGGGUUGGAAAGUUUCGGCGGUUGGGGAUGGACUCGCGGCUUAUCAGCUUGUUGGUGGGGUAGUGGCUUACCAAGGCUUUGACGGGUAGCCGGCCUGAGAGGGUGACCGGCCACAUUGGGACUGAGAUACGGCCCAGACUCCUACGGGAGGCAGCAGUGGGGAAUAUUGCACAAUGGGCGGAAGCCUGAUGCAGCAACGCCGCGUGCGGGAUGACGGCCUUCGUGUUGUAAACCGCUUUCGCCUGUGACGAAGCGUGAGUGACGGUAAUGGGUAAAGAAGCACCGGCUAACUACGUG
RNAcentral lists this ribosomal RNA (468 nucleotides) under uncultured bacterium. RNAcentral's name for it is "partial 16S ribosomal RNA". It matches the Rfam family "Bacterial small subunit ribosomal RNA", at positions 28 to 507 of the family's 1533-position model. The record is from RNAcentral.